This 441-nucleotide ribosomal RNA is filed under the name uncultured bacterium. RNAcentral's name for it is "partial 16S ribosomal RNA". It matches the Rfam family "Bacterial small subunit ribosomal RNA", at positions 338 to 795 of the family's 1533-position model. The record is from RNAcentral.
CCUACGGGAGGCAGCAGUGGGGGAUAUUGCACAAUGGGGGAAACCCUGAUGCAGCGACGCCGCGUGGGUGAAGAAGUAUUUCGGUAUGUAAAGCCCUAUCAGCAGGGAAGAAAGAAGACGGUACCUGACUAAGACGCCCCGGCUAACUACGUGCCAGCAGCCGCGGUAAUACGUAGGGGGCGAGCGUUAUCCGGAUUCACUGGGUGUAAAGGGAGCGUAGACGGCCGUGCAAGCCAGGAGUGAAAGCCCGGGGCCCAACCCCGGGACUGCUCUUGGAACUGUGCGGCUGGAGUGCGGGAGGGGCAGGCGGAAUUCCUGGUGUAGCGGUGAAAUGCGUAGAUAUCAGGAGGAACACCGGCGGCGAAGGCGGCCUGCUGGACCGCGACUGACGUUGAGGCUCGAAAGCGUGGGGAGCGAACAGGAUUAGAUACCCGGGUAGUC